CUAGAUUCUGACAAGACCUAAAGCACAGAGAGUCCAAAAUUGAGAAUUACAGCCCAAGUUUAGAACAUCCAGGGCUCAUGAGUUGAGUCUAACCUUGUGGCUAGAAUGGACAAGUAAAAAGCAGCACAAAGUCAAUGAUGUCUACAGACCAUUCUUUCUGGUUGGAGAAGCACCUGAUGUAAAGUCUUGGCACGCAUCCUGUGCAAAGAUUAGCACCCUAAACUGAUGGCUAGGUUGCACACUCUCACCACCUUCUACUGCUGCUCUGAGCAGGCUAAGGCGACAGUCUAGCUCCAGGUACACACUUGGGAGGAAAAUCAUCCAUGAGGACAGCCCUGGUUCUGGUUCCUCACCUGUUAUACCAGUUAAAAAGAAGCCAGUUCAUCCCCUCCAGCUGGUACUCCCGGAGCUGGUUACUGUUCUUAUACUCUCGAGACUUCUCCAGUUUCUGCCAGGAGUCCGAAGCAGGCCGCUCCUAAUGGAGGAAGGCAGAGAACACAAAAUACGUUGAGAAUAACGUCUGAGGAACGUAACACGAAUAGGGACAUAGGAUAAUAAUGGGGAAGGUGGCAAAUCUCAAAACACUGCCCUAAAGCUGGCAUGAAACCGCAGCUACUAUUUUCUGACUAAUGUGCAGGCGAGACCCUGUAUUUUCUUGAUUUCACCAGAUUAAACUAAGAAAACCUCA
This is a long non-coding RNA of Neofelis nebulosa (Clouded leopard), 688 nucleotides long. RefSeq lists it as uncharacterized. The record is from RefSeq and is a predicted model, not a curated record. Lineage: Eukaryota; Metazoa; Chordata; Mammalia; Carnivora; Felidae. The transcript is spliced from 2 exons.